This 524-nucleotide ribosomal RNA is filed under the name uncultured bacterium. Its description in RNAcentral is "bacterial SSU rRNA". It matches the Rfam family "Bacterial small subunit ribosomal RNA", at positions 773 to 1302 of the family's 1533-position model. The record is from RNAcentral.
AGUGAAUAGAUACCCAGGUAGUCCACGCUGUAAACGAUGAUCACUCGCUGUAUGCGAUACACAGUAUGCGGCCAAGCGAAAGCAUUAAGUGAUCCAUCUGGGGAGUACGAUCGCAAGGUUGAAACUCAAAGGAAUUGACGGGGGCCCGCACAAAGCGGAGGAACAUGUGGUUUAAUUCGAUGAUACGCGAGGAACCUUACCUGGGCUUAAAUGGGGAGUGACAGCUGCCGAAAGGUGGCUUUCUUCGGACACUCUUCAAGGUGCUGCAUGGUUGUCGUCAGCUCGUGCCGUGAGGUGUCGGGUUAAGUCCCAUAACGAGCGCAACCCUUAUCGUUAGUUGCCAGCGGGUCAAGCCGGGGACUCUAGCGAGACUGCCACCGUAAGGUGAGAGGAAGGUGGGGAUGACGUCAAAUCAGCACGGCCCUUAUGUCCAGGGCUACACACGUGUUACAAUGGCCAGUACAAAGGGCAGCUACCGGGUGACCGGAUGCUAAUCUCUAAAGCUGGUCUCAGUUCGGAUCGAA